AGGCCCUUUCGGGGGUACACGAGCGGCGAACGGGUGAGUAACACGUGAGCAAUCUGCCCUUCACUUUGGGAUAACCACCGGAAACGGUGGCUAAUACCGAAUAUGACCAGUCUCUGCAUGGAGUGCUGGUGGAAAGUUCCGGCGGUGGAGGAUGAGCUCGCGGCCUAUCAGCUUGUUGGUGGGGUAAUGGCCUACCAAGGCGACGACGGGUAGCCGGCCUGAGAGGGUGACCGGCCACACUGGGACUGAGACACGGCCCAGACUCCUACGGGAGGCAGCAGUGGGGAAUAUUGGACAAUGGGCGAAAGCCUGAUCCAGCAACGCCGCGUGAGGGAUGACGGCCUUCGGGUUGUAAACCUCUUUCAGUAGGGACGAAGCUAACGUGACGGUACCUACAGAAGAAGCACCGGCCAACUACGUGCCAGCAGUCGCGGUAAUACGUAGGGUGCGAGCGUUGUCCGGAAUUAUUGGGCGUAAAGGGCUCGUAGGCGGUUUGUCGCGUCGGGAGUGAAAACUCGGGGCUUAACUCCGAGCCUGCUUCCGAUACGGGCAGACUAGAGGUAUGCAGGGGAGAACGGAAUUCCUGGUGUAGCGGUGAAAUGCGCAGGUAUCAGGAGGAACACCGGUGGCG
Molecule: ribosomal RNA, 631 nt
Filed under: uncultured Actinomycetes bacterium
Lineage: Bacteria; Bacillati; Actinomycetota; Actinomycetes
Description: bacterial SSU rRNA
Rfam family: Bacterial small subunit ribosomal RNA
Source: RNAcentral